UACGGAAGGUCCGGGCGUUAUCCGGAUUUAUUGGGUUUAAAGGGAGCGUAGGCGGAGGAUCAAGUCAGUUGUGAAAUGUAGGCGCUUAACGUCUGCACUGCAGUUGAAACUGGUUCCCUUGAGUGCGUAAGAGGCAGGCGGAAUUCGUCGUGUAGCGGUGAAAUGCUUAGAUAUGACGAAGAACUCCGAUCGCGAAGGCAGCUUGCCGGGACGCAACUGACGCUGAAGCUCGAAGGUGCGGGUAUCGAAC
RNAcentral lists this ribosomal RNA (250 nucleotides) under uncultured prokaryote. RNAcentral's name for it is "partial 16S ribosomal RNA". It matches the Rfam family "Bacterial small subunit ribosomal RNA", at positions 524 to 773 of the family's 1533-position model. The record is from RNAcentral.